This 468-nucleotide ribosomal RNA is filed under the name uncultured bacterium. RNAcentral describes it as "partial 16S ribosomal RNA". It matches the Rfam family "Bacterial small subunit ribosomal RNA", at positions 28 to 507 of the family's 1533-position model. The record is from RNAcentral.
GACGAACGCUGGCGGCGUGCUUAACACAUGCAAGUCGAACGGAAAGGCCCUGCUUUUGUGGGGUGCUCGAGUGGCGAACGGGUGAGUAACACGUGAGUAACCUGCCCUUGACUUUGGGAUAACUUCAGGAAACUGGGGCUAAUACCGGAUAGGAGCUCCUGCUGCAUGGUGGGGGUUGGAAAGUUUCGGCGGUUGGGGAUGGACUCGCGGCUUAUCAGCUUGUUGGUGGGGUAGUGGCUUACCAAGGCUUUGACGGGUAGCCGGCCUGAGAGGGUGACCGGGCAAAAUGGGAAUGAGAGACGGACCAGAAUCCUAAGGGAGGCAGCAGGGGGGAAUAUUGCAAAAUGGGCGGAAGCCUGAUGCAGCAAAGCCGCGUGCGGGAUGACGGCCUUCGGGUUGUAAACCGCUUUCGCCGGUGAAGAAGAGUGAGUGAAGGUAAUGGGUAAAGAAGCAACGGCUAACUAAGUG